CUGCUCCUUGCUUUUUUCUGCAACAGGUGCCAGUUCACUGCUCUGUAGUUUCUGUGGAACUGGCGUCCGUUGCAGGGAUGUGCGGGGAGCGUCC
Molecule: microRNA precursor, 94 nt
Filed under: Alligator mississippiensis (American alligator)
Lineage: Eukaryota; Metazoa; Chordata; Crocodylia; Alligatoridae
Description: microRNA ami-mir-9613 precursor
Source: miRBase by way of RNAcentral